UUAAAUUGAAGAGUUUGAUCAUGGCUCAGAUUGAACGCUGGCGGCAGGCCUAACACAUGCAAGUCGAACGGUAACAGGAAGAAGCUUGCUUCUUUGCUGACGAGUGGCGGACGGGUGAGUAAUGUCUGGGAAACUGCCUGAUGGAGGGGGAUAACUACUGGAAACGGUAGCUAAUACCGCAUAACG
Molecule: ribosomal RNA, 186 nt
Filed under: Escherichia coli
Lineage: Bacteria; Pseudomonadati; Pseudomonadota; Gammaproteobacteria; Enterobacterales; Enterobacteriaceae
Description: partial 16S ribosomal RNA
Rfam family: Bacterial small subunit ribosomal RNA
Source: RNAcentral